This 280-nucleotide ribosomal RNA is filed under the name uncultured bacterium. RNAcentral describes it as "partial 16S ribosomal RNA". It matches the Rfam family "Archaeal small subunit ribosomal RNA", at positions 456 to 735 of the family's 1478-position model. The record is from RNAcentral.
UGCCAGCCGCCGCGGUAAUACCGGCAGCUCAAGUGAUGUCCCAUAUUAUUGGGCCUAAAGCGUCCGUAGCCUGCUGUGUAAGUCCAUCGGGAAAUCGACGUGCUCAACAUGUCGGCGUCCGGUGGAAACUACACAGCUUGGGGUCGAGAGACUUGACGGGUACGUCCGGGGUAGGAGUGAAAUCCUGUAAUCCUGGACGGACCACCAAUGGGGAAACCACGUCAAGAGACCGGACCCGACGGUGAGGGACGAAAGCCAGGGUCUCGAACCGGAUUAGAUA